GCGGCGGUAGUUCAGCGGUAGAACGCUUGUCUGCCAGGCAGGAUGUCGCGGGUUCGAUUCCCGCUCGCCGCUCCA
RNAcentral lists this transfer RNA (75 nucleotides) under Anaerolineae bacterium. Its description in RNAcentral is "tRNA-Gly". It matches the Rfam family "tRNA". From Rfam's summary of the family: Transfer RNA (tRNA) molecules are approximately 80 nucleotides in length. Their secondary structure includes four short double-helical elements and three loops (D, anti-codon, and T loops). Lineage: Bacteria; Bacillati; Chloroflexota; Anaerolineae. The record is from RNAcentral.